This 407-nucleotide ribosomal RNA is filed under the name uncultured bacterium. Its description in RNAcentral is "partial 16S ribosomal RNA". It matches the Rfam family "Bacterial small subunit ribosomal RNA", at positions 28 to 526 of the family's 1533-position model. The record is from RNAcentral.
GACGAACGCUGGCGGCGUGCCUAAUACAUGCAAGUAGGACGCAGUUGCGAACGGGUGAGUAACGCGUAGGUAACUACCUAUUAGAGGGGGAUAACUAUUGGAAACGAUAGCUAAUACCGCAUACUAGUAGAUGGACCUGCGUUGUAUUAGCUAGUAGGUAGGGUAAUGGCCUACCUAGGCAACGAUACAUAGCCGAACGGGAAGGGUGAUAGGCCACACUGGGACGGGGACACGGCCCAGAAUCCGACGGGAGGAAGCAGUAGGGAAGCGUCGGCAAUGGGGGGAACCCUGACCGAGCAACGACGCGUGAGGGAAGAAGGUUUUCGGAUCGUAAAGCUCUGGUGUUAAGGAAGCGGUACUUAACCAGAAAGGGACGGCUAACUACGUGCCAGCAGCCGCGGUAAUUC